GUCGAACGGCAGCACGGACUUCGGUCUGGUGGCGAGUGGCGAACGGGUGAGUAAUACAUCGGAACGUGUCCUGGAGUGGGGGAUAGCCCGGCGAAAGCCGGAUUAAUACCGCAUACGCUCUGUGGAGGAAAGCGGGGGAUCUUUCGGGACCUCGCGCUCAAGGGGCGGCCGAUGGCAGAUUAGCUAGUUGGUGGGGUAAAGGCCUACCAAGGCGACGAUCUGUAGCUGGUCUGAGAGGACGACCAGCCACACUGGGACUGAGACACGGCCCAGACUCCUACGGGAGGCAGCAGUGGGGAAUUUUGGACAAUGGGCGCAAGCCUGAUCCAGCAAUGCCGCGUGUGUGAAGAAGGCCUUCGGGUUGUAAAGCACUUUUGUCCGGAAAGAAAACCUUUGGGCUAAUACCCUGGGGGGAUGACGGUACCGGAAGAAUAAGCACCGGCUAACUACGUGCCAGCAGCCGCGGUAAUACGUAGGGUGCAAGCGUUAAUCGGAAUUACUGGGCGUAAAGCGUGCGCAGGCGGUUCGCUAAGACAGAUGUGAAAUCCCCGGGCUUAACCUGGGAACUGCAUUUGUGACUGGCGGGCUAGAGUAUGGCAGAGGGGGGUAGAAUUCCACGUGUAGCAGUGAAAUGCGUAGAGAUGUGGAGGA
RNAcentral lists this ribosomal RNA (651 nucleotides) under uncultured Burkholderia sp. Its description in RNAcentral is "bacterial SSU rRNA". It matches the Rfam family "Bacterial small subunit ribosomal RNA", at positions 61 to 705 of the family's 1533-position model. Lineage: Bacteria; Pseudomonadati; Pseudomonadota; Betaproteobacteria; Burkholderiales; Burkholderiaceae. The record is from RNAcentral.